Pongo abelii (Sumatran orangutan) is the source of this 100-nucleotide small nuclear RNA. The record is from Ensembl. NCBI's taxonomy places the organism in Eukaryota, Metazoa, Chordata, Mammalia, Primates, Hominidae.
GUACUCUCUUCCGCAGUGCAUAUACUAAAAUUGGAACAUACAGAGAUUAGCAUGGCCCCUGCGCAAGGAUGAUCAGAUGGUUUGGAUGUUUUUUUUUUUU